GUGGGACCACGAGGGGAUUAAUUUUUUUUGGAAUAUUCUGUCAUAGUCAUUGGGGUGAUAUAUGAUUAGGAGUAAGGAUUGGCUAAGAUCCUUGAAAGAGAAGCCUGAGCCACGAUAUCUCUUGGAUCGGCAUCUGAGGUUUGACAAUCUGAUUUUAGAUCAUCAAGAUCUAACUUCGAUACAAAUCGAUGACAGGAUCAGAAGUCAAGAAUCAGAGGCUGAAGUGGGAUCGAUCGCACAUGGAGAGUAUGAGCACCUGUGGACAAAAGUCGGAUGCAUAGGU
RNAcentral lists this long non-coding RNA (283 nucleotides) under Elaeis guineensis (African oil palm). Its description in RNAcentral is "long non-coding RNA (EGUI_LNC070705)". The record is from RNAcentral. Lineage: Eukaryota; Viridiplantae; Streptophyta; Magnoliopsida; Arecales; Arecaceae.